UGUAUGCAUUUUUUGUUACACUUUGUGACUCUUUCAUUAUUUUGUUGGUAAUCGACCAAAAUAAUUAGCUAUGAUUGCCUGUUUAGCACAUUGUCUGCCUAUAUACAGUAUUGAUUUCUACCUGGUGUAGAACUACCCACCAGGACAAAUUAAAUUAAUAUCCAGUCAAAUAACAAUGGCUAAUCUGCAUGAAAUAUGAGCCAACAAGUAAUAGCACUUUGCACUUGCACAACACCACAUACUCAGUAAAGGACACUGUUGUGAUACUGACUCAUUUGGUGGUAAACCCCCCCCCCCUCCCCUCCCCCAUUUAGCUGUAGUCAAAAUAUAGUUGAUGGUGAUUCACAACCCUGGAGAGCAUUAAAGAAGAUGAGGUGGAUGAAUUCAUCAGCGGUGCCUUCGUUCACACUAUAAAGAGAACUUGGACCUGUUGGAUGGAGGAAACAAAGUCAGCCAUAGAUGAUGACGAACAUCCUAACCCUUCAACUACAUUACAUGCGUUGCCAUGGCUUUCCCACCUUUCACCCCCUACUAGUAGGUCCAAGCCAUCCUUUGCAUUAUAUGCCAAGAGUGUGCAAAGCUGUCAUCAAGGCUACUUUGAAGAAUCUCAAAUAUAAAUCAUAUUUUGAUUUGCUUAACACUUUUUGGGUUA
Long non-coding RNA from Oncorhynchus kisutch (coho salmon), 652 nucleotides. RefSeq lists it as uncharacterized. The transcript has 3 exons. Lineage: Eukaryota; Metazoa; Chordata; Actinopteri; Salmoniformes; Salmonidae. The record is from RefSeq and is a predicted model, not a curated record.